RNAcentral lists this ribosomal RNA (668 nucleotides) under Bacillus safensis. RNAcentral's name for it is "bacterial SSU rRNA". It matches the Rfam family "Bacterial small subunit ribosomal RNA", at positions 43 to 691 of the family's 1533-position model. The record is from RNAcentral. Lineage: Bacteria; Bacillati; Bacillota; Bacilli; Caryophanales; Bacillaceae.
CGUCGCAUCUAUACAUGCAGUCGAGCGGACAGAAGGGAGCUUGCUCCCGGAUGUUAGCGGCGGACGGGUGAGUAACACGUGGGUAACCUGCCUGUAAGACUGGGAUAACUCCGGGAAACCGGAGCUAAUACCGGAUAGUUCCUUGAACCGCAUGGUUCAAGGAUGAAAGACGGUUUCGGCUGUCACUUACAGAUGGACCCGCGGCGCAUUAGCUAGUUGGUGGGGUAAUGGCUCACCAAGGCGACGAUGCGUAGCCGACCUGAGAGGGUGAUCGGCCACACUGGGACUGAGACACGGCCCAGACUCCUACGGGAGGCAGCAGUAGGGAAUCUUCCGCAAUGGACGAAAGUCUGACGGAGCAACGCCGCGUGAGUGAUGAAGGUUUUCGGAUCGUAAAGCUCUGUUGUUAGGGAAGAACAAGUGCGAGAGUAACUGCUCGCACCUUGACGGUACCUAACCAGAAAGCCACGGGGGGGGGGGGGUGCCAGCAGCCGCGGUAAUACGUAGGUGGCAAGCGUUGUCCGGAAUUAUUGGGCGUAAAGGGCUCGCAGGCGGUUUCUUAAGUCUGAUGUGAAAGCCCCCGGCUCAACCGGGGAGGGUCAUUGGAAACUGGGAGACUUGAUUGCAAAAGAGGAGAGUGGAAUUCCACGUGUAGCGGGGAAAUGGGG